Molecule: ribosomal RNA, 433 nt
Filed under: uncultured bacterium
Lineage: Bacteria
Description: partial 16S ribosomal RNA
Rfam family: Bacterial small subunit ribosomal RNA
Source: RNAcentral
AACGAACGCUGGCGGCAUGCCUAACACAUGCAAGUCGAACGAGACCUUCGGGUCUAGUGGCGCACGGGUGCGUAACGCGUGGGAACCUGCCCUUAGGUUCGGAAUAACUCCCCGAAAGGGGUGCUAAUACCGGAUAAUGUCUUCGGACCAAAGAUUUAUCGCCCUUGGAUGGGCCCGCGUUGGAUUAGCUAGUUGGUAGGGUAAAAGCCUACCAAGGCGACGAUCCAUAGCUGGUCUGAGAGGAUGAUCAGCCACACUGGGACUGAGACACGGCCCAGACUCCUACGGGAGGCAGCAGUGGGGAAUAUUGGACAAUGGGCGAGAGUCUGAUCCAGCAGUGCCGCGUGAGUGAUGAAGGCCUUAGGGUUGUAAAGCUCUUUUACCCGGGAUGAUAAUGACAGUACCGGGAGAAUAAGCUCCGGCUAACUCCGUG